Molecule: ribosomal RNA, 497 nt
Filed under: uncultured bacterium
Lineage: Bacteria
Description: bacterial SSU rRNA
Rfam family: Bacterial small subunit ribosomal RNA
Source: RNAcentral
AGUGGCGCACGGGUGAGUAACGCGUGGGUAAUCUACCCCCGAAUUUGGGAUAACAGCUCGAAAGAGCUGCUAAUACCGGAUAACAUCAUAGUUUCCUCGGAGAUUAUGAUCAAAGGUGGCCUCUACAUGUAAGCUACUGUUUGGGGAUGAGCCCGCGUACCAUUAGCUAGUUGGUAGGGUAAAGGCCUACCAAGGCAACGAUGGUUAGCUGGUCUGAGAGGAUGAUCAGCCACACUGGAACUGACACACGGUCCAGACUCCUACGGGAGGCAGCAGUGAGGAAUUUUGCGCAAUGGGGGAAACCCUGACGCAGCAACGCCGCGUGGAGGAUGAAGGCCUUCGGGUCGUAAACUCCUGUCAGUGGGGACGAAAGCCUCGCAAGAGGUUUGACUGUACCCGCUGAGGAAGCCACGGCUAACUCCGUGCCAGCAGCCGCGGUAAUACGGAGGUAGCAAGCGUUGUUCGGAAUUACUGGGGCGUAAAGGGCGCGUAGGCGG